Molecule: long non-coding RNA, 435 nt
Organism: Bufo gargarizans (Asiatic toad)
Lineage: Eukaryota; Metazoa; Chordata; Amphibia; Anura; Bufonidae
Exons: 4
Source: RefSeq, a predicted model, not a curated record
GCUCCGGGGCCUUCUUGUGCUUUCUUUGCUUCUUCUUGCUCUUCUUUCCUGAACUGUUACCUGAAACUGGGAGAGGGCAGCGGUGAAUGAGCGGGCACCAUUACAGGGACACCACCAAAUGCAUAUUAUACAGACAGGGCAAAAAGGAUCUACAGGAGAAGUUGGAAAGAGUGGUCCACAUGGACAAAAAGUUUAGUGUCACUAAUCACUUCAAGGAAAAGUCCAGAUUAAUCCAAAUAAAUGGUGACACAUAAAACAGGCGAGAAAGAGAAUCUGGAAAGCCGGAGUCAGGACUGUAUGAUACGUGGGAGCUACGCAUUGAUCUAGUGGACUUCGACCACGUGCAAUAUUUUGGCAAAUACUCCUCAUUUCAGAUCCUUGUAGAAGAGGAGAAGUACAAAUUAUUGCUUGGAGACUUCAAAGAUGGAAAUGCAG